This 492-nucleotide ribosomal RNA is filed under the name uncultured bacterium. RNAcentral describes it as "partial 16S ribosomal RNA". It matches the Rfam family "Bacterial small subunit ribosomal RNA", at positions 29 to 507 of the family's 1533-position model. The record is from RNAcentral.
AGUGAACGCUGGCGGUAUGCCUAACACAUGCAAGUCGAACGGCAGCACAGUAAGAGCUUGCUCUUACGGGUGGCGAGUGGCGGACGGGUGAGGAAUACAUCGGAAUCUACUUUUACGUGGGGGAUAACGUAGGGAAACUUACGCUAAUACCGCAUACGUCCUACGGGUGAAAGCAGGGGUUCUUCGGACCUUGCGCGAUUGAAUGAGCCGAUGUCGGAUUAGAUAGUUGGCGGGGUAAAGGCCCACCAAGGCGACGAUCCGUAGCUGGUCUGAGAGGAUGAUCAGCCACACUGGAACUGAGACACGGUCCAGACUCCUACGGGAGGCAGCAGUGGGGAAUAUUGCACAAUGGGCGAAAGCCUGAUCCAGCAAUACCGCGUGAGUGAUGAAGGACUUCGGGUUGUAAAGCUCUGUUGUUGGGAAAGAAAAGAAGCAGGUUAAUACCCCGCUGUUCUGACGGUACCCAAAGAAUAAGCACCGGCUAACUUCGUG